GGGCCCGCACAAGCGGUGGAGCAUGUGGUUUAAUUCGAUGAUACGCGAGGAACCUUACCAGGGCUUAAAUGCAGAAUGACAGAUUGGGAAACCAGUCCUUCUUCGGACAUUUUGCAAGGUGCUGCAUGGUUGUCGUCAGCUCGUGCCGUGAGGUGUCAGUUAAGUCCUAUAACGAGCGCAACCCCUAUCAUUAGUUGCCAGCGGGUAAUGCCGGGAACUCUAAUGAGACUGCCAGCGCAAGCUGCGAGGAAGGUGGGGAUGACGUCAAAUCAUCACGGCCCUUACCGUGCCUGGCUACACACGUGCUACAAUGGUUGGGACAAUGGGCAGCCACUACGCAAGUAG
This 345-nucleotide ribosomal RNA is filed under the name uncultured bacterium. RNAcentral describes it as "bacterial SSU rRNA". It matches the Rfam family "Bacterial small subunit ribosomal RNA", at positions 917 to 1264 of the family's 1533-position model. The record is from RNAcentral.